AUGGACUGGUUGGAUCUCCUUGCAGUCCAAGGGACUCUCAGGAGUCUUCUCCAACACCGCAGUUCAAAUGCAUCAAUACUUCAGCGCUCAGCCUUCUUCACAGUUCAACUCUCACAUCCAUACAUGACCACUGGAAAAACCGUAGCCUUGACUAGAUGGACCUUUGUUGGCAAAGUAAUGUCUCUGCUUUUCAAUAUGCUAUCUAGGUUGGUCAUAACUUUCCUUCCAAGGAGUAAGCGUCUUUUAAUUUCAUGGCUGCAGUCACCAUCUGCAGUGAUUUUGGAGCCCCAAAAAAAUAAAGUCUGACACUGUUUCCACUGUUUCCCCAUCUAUUUCCCAUGAAGUGAUGGGACCAGAUGCCAUGAUCUUCGUUUUCUGAAUGUUGAGCUUUAAGCCAACUUUUUCACUCUCCUCUUUCACUUUCAUCAAGAGGUUUUUUAGUUCCUCUUCACUUUCUGCCAUAAGGGUGGUGUCAUCUGCAUAUGUGAGGUUAUUGAUAUUUCUCCCGGCAGUCUAGAUUCCAGCUUGUGUUUCUUCAGUCCAGCGUUUCUCAUGAUGUACUCUGUAUAAGUUAAAUAAGCAGGGUGACAAUAUACAGCCUUGACGUACUCCUUUUCCUAUUUGGAACCUGUCUGUUGUUCCAUGUCCAGUUCUAACUGUUGCUUCCUGACCUGCAUACAGAUUUCUCAAGAGGCAGGUCAGGUGGUCUGGGAUUCCCAUCUCUCUCAGAAUUUUCCACAGUUUUUGUGAUCCACACCAACAUCCACUGGAUCAUGGAAAAAGCAAGAGAGUUCCAGAAAAACAUCUAUUUCUGCCUCUCUUAAGCUUCCUGCAUAAGCAGAGGGUUGUUUACCACUAGCGCCACCUAGGAAACCCUUCUUGUUAUGCUUGUUAUGAAGGUUUAAAUUUGUGCCUUCUC
This 919-nucleotide long non-coding RNA is filed under the name Ovis aries (sheep). Its description in RNAcentral is "lncRNA (ENSOARG00000026265.1)". Lineage: Eukaryota; Metazoa; Chordata; Mammalia; Artiodactyla; Bovidae. The record is from RNAcentral.